This 358-nucleotide ribosomal RNA is filed under the name Staphylococcus aureus. RNAcentral's name for it is "bacterial SSU rRNA". It matches the Rfam family "Bacterial small subunit ribosomal RNA", at positions 1177 to 1533 of the family's 1533-position model. Lineage: Bacteria; Bacillati; Bacillota; Bacilli; Caryophanales; Staphylococcaceae. The record is from RNAcentral.
GGAUGACGUCAAAUCAUCAUGCCCCUUAUGAUUUGGGCUACACACGUGCUACAAUGGACAAUACAAAGGGCAGCGAAACCGUGAGGUCAAGCAAAUCCCAUAAAGUUGUUCUCAGUUCGGAUUGUAGUCUGCAACUCGACUACAUGAAGCUGGAAUCGCUAGUAAUCGUAGAUCAGCAUGCUACGGUGAAUACGUUCCCGGGUCUUGUACACACCGCCCGUCACACCACGAGAGUUUGUAACACCCGAAGCCGGUGGAGUAACCUUUUAGGAGCUAGCCGUCGAAGGUGGGACAAAUGAUUGGGGUGAAGUCGUAACAAGGUAGCCGUAUCGGAAGGUGCGGCUGGAUCACCUCCUUU